Molecule: long non-coding RNA, 766 nt
Organism: Oreochromis niloticus (Nile tilapia)
Lineage: Eukaryota; Metazoa; Chordata; Actinopteri; Cichliformes; Cichlidae
Exons: 4
Source: RefSeq, a predicted model, not a curated record
UGCGGACGUAUUUCUCAUUUAAUGGUUCUUUUUCCACCGUUAGCUUAAUAACAUAAGCCUAUUGUAACACUGCAGUAUUCUCAGUUAUAAGUAACUACAAAAGCCUUACUGCCAAGUCUGUCUCACAGCUGGACUGAGCACCUGCUGUAUAUGGAGCUGGACAUACUUAUUGAUUAAUGUGCGGGGGAGUGGCCCCAGACAUCGUGGCUCCCUCAUUGCAUCCCCAAGCAUAGAAAACAAGCAACACAGGAAAAGUGAGGUAAAGCAAUUUGAACACUGGACUCCAAUAUGACCUUUGAUUAUGAGAGGAAUAAAGCAGUGCUCAUAUCCCAGGCCUCUCCGUUUCCUCUCAACAUGAUGAAUGGGACACCCUGAGCUGCAGGACAGAACAACCAUUUGAGAAUCCAGGGCAAAGGUGGAGCCAUCUUUAAGGGAUGCUGGGAGGAUAACCGGUCCAUUUUUCUUGGCCUCCACCUUCAGAAGGGGCUCGGAUGCUCAGAUCCUAGACUGAAUAAUUUGUCACCUAUUUACAUGGAGCCAAGAACUGGGGAAAUGGAACGAGCAGGUGGUAUCUCACUCUCCCUCCUCCCUGUGCCACAGACAGAUGUGUCUAACUGCAAACAUCCCCCCAUCUUCUCUCCUUCUCCUGGGGCUCUCUUUCAAUGUGUUGCACUCUUGAUGUCUAAAAUAAGAAAGGCAAAUCACUGCUGCUCAGAACUGGCCUAAUAAUGUUUUUGUUAUCUGACAAAGAGUUAUUUUCUUAAUU